RNAcentral lists this ribosomal RNA (619 nucleotides) under uncultured bacterium. RNAcentral's name for it is "bacterial SSU rRNA". It matches the Rfam family "Bacterial small subunit ribosomal RNA", at positions 338 to 951 of the family's 1533-position model. The record is from RNAcentral.
CCUACGGGAGGCAGCAGUGGGGAAUUUUGGACAAUGGGGGCAACCCUGAUCCAGCAAUGCCGCGUGAGUGAAGAAGGCCCUCGGGUUGUAAAGCUCUUUUGUCAGGGAAGAAACGGUGGUUCCUAAUACGAGCUGCUAAUGACGGUACCUGAAGAAUAAGCACCGGCUAACUACGUGCCAGCAGCCGCGGUAAUACGUAGGGUGCAAGCGUUAAUCGGAAUUACUGGGCGUAAAGCGUGCGCAGGCGGUUAUAUAAGACAGAGGUGAAAUCCCCGGGCUCAACCUGGGAACUGCCUUUGUGACUGUAUGGCUAGAGUGUGUCAGAGGGGGGUAGAAUUCCACGUGUAGCAGUGAAAUGCGUAGAUAUGUGGAGGAAUACCGAUGGCGAAGGCAGCCCCCUGGGAUAACACUGACGCUCAUGCACGAAAGCGUGGGGAGCAAACAGGAUUAGAUACCCUGGUAGUCCACGCCCUAAACGAUGUCUACUAGUUGUCGGGACUUAAUUGUCUUGGUAACGCAGCUAACGCGUGAAGUAGACCGCCUGGGGAGUACGGUCGCAAGNUUAAAACUCAAAGGAAUUGACGGNUGAAGACGNGCGAGACGACGACGAGGGAGGAGG